This 234-nucleotide unclassified non-coding RNA is filed under the name Herpotrichia juniperi. RNAcentral describes it as "partial contains 5.8S ribosomal RNA, internal transcribed spacer 2, and large subunit ribosomal RNA". The record is from RNAcentral. Lineage: Eukaryota; Fungi; Ascomycota; Dothideomycetes; Pleosporales; Melanommataceae.
CGCACAUUGCGCCCAUUGGUAUUCCGAUGGGCAUGCCUGUUCGAGCGUCAUUAACACAAUCAAGCCCUGCUUGGUGUUGGGAAUAUAUCGGGACCUGUUCUCGAUUCACCCUAAAUAAAUCAGCGAUCAACGCAGCUAUCUCGUGCAGCACAUGCUCAGGGUGGUUCGCGGAUGAAGGCUGUAAAAAUAUCAAAGUUUGACCUCGGAUCAGGUAGGGAUACCCGCUGAACUUAA